RNAcentral lists this ribosomal RNA (549 nucleotides) under Atlantilux exigua. RNAcentral's name for it is "partial 12S ribosomal RNA". Lineage: Eukaryota; Metazoa; Mollusca; Gastropoda; Neogastropoda; Costellariidae. The record is from RNAcentral.
AACCACAAAGAUCGAGUUAUAUUUUAAGGUAUAAAGACAGUUAGGCUAAUAGAUAGUGUGUUAAUUUAUAAAUAAUAUAGAAGUAAAAUUCAAAUAUAAAUUUAAAAACUUAUAUUAACUCAACAGGCUGAAUCUGUGAAAUCUUUGACAGAAACUGGGAUUAGAUACCCCAUUAUUCUUGGGGGUAAAAAAUAUAUUUACCAGAGUACUACGAAUAUAAACCAAAAUUUUAAAACUCAAAGAGCUUGGCGGCAUCUUAGACCUUUCAGGGGAACUUGUCUUUUAAGUCGAUAGUCCACGUUAAACCUUAUCUUCUUAGUAAACAAUUUGUAUACCGUCGUCGUAAGGUAACUUUUAAAAAAUUAUUAGUUAGCAAAAGAAUUUAAUCAAUUUAAACGUCAGAUCAAGGUGCAGUUAAUAAGGAGGUUGAGAUGAGUUACAAUUAUAUUUAAUAAUAAAACGGAAAAAUUAAUUGAAAUAUUAUUUUAAAGGAGGACUUGAAAGUAAAAAUAUUUAUAUAUAUAAAUUGAAUAAGGCUCUUAGAUGUGC